GCCGGGCCGGUUCGGGCAGCGGACUGGGCAUGCUCCGCAGCCCGGGAGGCUCUCGGUGGCAAGUCGGAAGCGUUCGCACCGGGGAGGCAGCUGCCGGGGCAGCGGCGGCGGCGGCGGCGGCGGCGGCGGCGGCGGGCAGGACGGGAGUGGGAAGGGUUGGCCAGGGAAGGCUGCUCUCCGCUGGCGCCCGGCGAGCCGCGCAGAGAGCUCGAUCCGGUUACGAAGCCUUGACGCUGCCCUGCCCCGGAUUUCAUUCCGCGGCGGGGGGCUCGGCGAGCGGAAUUCCGGCGGCUGCCGCGACUCCCGUGCAAGGUGAAGGCAGCAUGAAUGAUCCCUGA
RNAcentral lists this long non-coding RNA (338 nucleotides) under Rhinolophus ferrumequinum (greater horseshoe bat). RNAcentral describes it as "lncRNA (ENSRFEG00010019778.1)". The record is from RNAcentral. Lineage: Eukaryota; Metazoa; Chordata; Mammalia; Chiroptera; Rhinolophidae.